This is a long non-coding RNA of Carassius carassius (crucian carp), 347 nucleotides long. RefSeq lists it as uncharacterized. NCBI's taxonomy places the organism in Eukaryota, Metazoa, Chordata, Actinopteri, Cypriniformes, Cyprinidae. The transcript is spliced from 3 exons. The record is from RefSeq and is a predicted model, not a curated record.
UUUCUGGUUCCUCUUGUUUUAUUCUCAAAGUUUCUGGUUCCUCGUGUUUUAUUCUCAACAUUUCUGGUUCCUCGUCUUGUAUUGUGCUGGUUUCUGGUUCCUCGUGUUUUAUUCUCAAAGUUUCUGGUUCCUCAUCUUUUAUUCUCCAGGUUUCUGUUUCCUCUUGUUUUAUUGUGAAGGUUUCUGGUUCCUCGUGUUUUAUUUCUGGUUCCUCGUGUUUUAUUCUGCAGGUUUCUGGUUCCUCGUGUUUUAUUUCUGGUUCCUCGUGUUUUAUUGUGAAGGUUUCUGGUUCACUCGUGUUCUCUUCUCUCUCCUCUUUCACAAACUCCAUCUUCACAGCAGCAGAU